This 484-nucleotide ribosomal RNA is filed under the name uncultured bacterium. RNAcentral's name for it is "partial 16S ribosomal RNA". It matches the Rfam family "Bacterial small subunit ribosomal RNA", at positions 30 to 507 of the family's 1533-position model. The record is from RNAcentral.
AUUGAACGCUGGCGGCAGGCCUGACACAUGCAAGUCGAGCGGAUGAAGGGAGCUUGCUCCUGGAUUCAGCGGCGGACGGGUGAGUAAUGCCUAGGAAUCUGCCUGGUCGUGGGGGAUAACGUCCGGAAACGGGCGCUAAUACCGCAUACGUCCUGUGGGAGAAAGUGGGGGAUCUUCGGACCUCACGCUAUCAGAUGAGCCUAGGUCGGAUUAGCUAGUUGGUGGGGUAAAGGCCUACCAAGGCGACGAUCCGUAACUGGUCUGAGAGGAUGAUCAGUCAGACUGGAAGUGAGACACGGUCCAGACUCCUACGGGAGGCAGCAGUGGGGAAUAUUGGACGAUGGGCGAAAGCCUGAUCCAGCCAUGCCGCGUGUGUGAAGAAGGUCUUCGGAUUGUAAAGCACUUUAAGUUGGGAGGAAGGGAAGUAAGUUAAUACCUUGCUGUUUUGACGUUACCAGCAGAAUAAGCACCGGCUAACUUCGUG